RNAcentral lists this ribosomal RNA (116 nucleotides) under Bacillus fengqiuensis. The record is from RNAcentral. Lineage: Bacteria; Bacillati; Bacillota; Bacilli; Caryophanales; Bacillaceae.
UCUGGUGAUAAUGGCAGAGAGGUCACACCCGUUUCCAUGCCGAACACGGAAGUUAAGCUCUCUAGCGCCGAUGGUAGUUGAGGGAUUCCCUCUGCGAGAGUAGGACAUUGCCAGUC